Molecule: RNA transcript, 5391 nt
Organism: Equus quagga
Lineage: Eukaryota; Metazoa; Chordata; Mammalia; Perissodactyla; Equidae
Gene name: ral guanine nucleotide dissociation stimulator-like 1
Exons: 16
Source: RefSeq, a predicted model, not a curated record
GGGGAGCCUGCCUCGAGCUCUGGCAUCAGCGGUGAGGCUGAGCGAAUGCAGCUUCUUCCUCCUGGAUGGCCUCGCCCCACAGGCGCUCUUUGUAGAGGGGUCCCGGCAGUCCGGGAAAAGGCGGCUCUGCGCCCGCAGGCUCCCCGUAAAGGACUGAAAACACCUGAUCCGGUGGUUAAAAGCUGUUCACAGGGAUAACUGGACCCCCACUAAGUAUUCUUUCCUCUGUAGUGAACAUUUCCCCACGGGGGCCCUGAGAGAACAUGGGAGUGAAGCAGAUGGGAAAGUCGCUGCCAGUUCAUUGCCGUCCUUGAGUGAAAACCUGAGGGCCAAGCCGCUCUGCAGGGUGAGACUGCACCCAGGGCCUCCCAGGAAGCCGCCGGUCAGGAGUGGGUGCAGCAAUCUCUGGAAGGAACUCUAGGAGACAGUGUGGCCGCCACAAUGUCAGGUAGCCAGGCAGAAAUAAACACGUCUGCUGUAGAUGCUGGUGGUGAGACUGCACUUCCCCCACCGGGGGCUUGCUAGGUUCUUCUCCAAGCACACUCGAGAGAGGCCAUCUGUCCCCCCAGCGCUUGUCGAGCGAAGGAGGCUGUAGAGAGACAUGGAGCCCACCCGUCUGGGGCCUGACAAAGGCUUGGCCCAGAGCCCCCAAGUUCUCAUUCACAGCAAUGCCUCAGAAGCCCUCCCAGAGCUCCUCUGCCCCUCCAACAGUUGUCACCCCAAAGCCAGCUGUGGAAGCUGUGCAGAGUGAGCACAGUGACACCAGCCCCAUGUCCCUCAACGGGGUCAUCCUGUCAGCGUCGGGGGCCUGAGGUCUCCUCGACCUGCUGCUUCUCCUGGCAGAACAAGAGCAGGGGUGCUGCCUGCGGGAGCAGGUGGAGAAGAAGAACGGCGAGCUGUUCUACCAUGUGGCAGAGGGGCGGUGCCCUGACAGCCAAGUGCACAUGCUGCAGAAGCUGGACAAGCUGAGGAGAGUGGGCUUCCCCUUCUUGAGCAGGCUGCUGUCCCCCAGCUGAGGAAUGGAAUCUUAACACCAGUCCAUCGGGAAUCGCCUGAUGAGCACUGGGUAGUCAUCUGCCUGAGAGACCCCUGCCAUCCCCUAAAGGAAGUUUGGUGGCAGCAGUGGGGUCCAAAGGAGGCAUCUGAUGGUUUCAGGGAUGAGAAACAAGGCAUUGGUACCCACAAAACCUUUGAGUCCUCCAUCUUGUUCGCUGUUUCCGAGGACCAUGGGAAGGAGAUUCCAACCUGAUCCCCAUUGUGGAGGUUUGGAGACUGGGGAAGACCUGAGGCACAAUGACUUUCCCAGGACACAGAACUGAGCUCCACCCAGGACAUCCUCCAGGAGCUGGUGAAGGGGUUCAAAUACUCUUAUCUCCCUGGACAAGGAGCAGGUGCAUCAGGCCCCCAACAACAGCCAGCACUGGUCUGGGUCAGUGUGAAAAGGAUUCAACCCUGUCCCCUGAUCAGGCCCAUGUGAUGCUGACCCCAAGGCAGGCACAAUGGAGAACAUGGCAGAGUCCCUGGACUAGCCUCCCCAGGGAGAAGCUUGUGCACUGCUACCUUCCUGUGCACCCACCAGGCCUUCGGCACCGCCCAGCAGGUUUUAGACCAGCUGUCCCACAGCUAGAACAGUACCUGCAGAAUUCCUGGCGGCCCCUGCACUGUCCCUUCUUCAAGCUAAAGGGGCUGUACGUGCAGGUCACCUUUACUGACUCAGACGUGGAUUGCCAUCACCCUCUUCUGGUGGUCCACUUGGAGCUUCCAGAGGCCACUGAGGCAGAGCCGCAGGUGCCAGCUCCAGGUCUCCAGGCAACUGCAGAACCAGAACAGUGGCCAGUUAUGGAGGAGCUCUUCAGGAAGGUGGUGCCCUCUCAGUGCCUGAGCUCCUCCUGGUGCAAGAGGAUCAAGCCCAGGAAUGAGCACCUGGCACCCACCAUCCAGGCCACUGUUGACCAUUUCCAGAGGGUGGUCAACUUCAUCACAACCACCUGCCUCAGGGACCCGAGCAGAACAGCCCGGGACAGGGCCAGGUUGGUGGAGCACUGGAUCCAGGUGGCACAGGAGUGCAACAUCCUAAUGAACUUCUCACUACACACUGUCAUCUCUGCUCUGCAGAAAACCUCCAUAAGUCGCCUGGAGAACACAUGGGACGAAGUUUCCCGGAGAGCUCCGAAAACUUCAAGGAACUGUAUAGAAAAGACAAGUCCUUGAGCAGAGAACUGAUGACCAAGUCUGUCUUGUCCAGAUUAACAAGGGGAGGGAUCCUUUUGGUCCACGGGCAGGUGAGCUGAAGUUUGUGGGAAGGAGGCCCUGGUCUUGGGACAUUGUGGUGCUGGCUGGGCUGGCACAAUCAGCAGGUCUCCGGCUUCCAUGCAGGUCCAUCCUGUUAGACAUAGCUUCUUCCUGAGUGGUUGGCGUGGGUUUAGCCCUCAGCCUAAACCUGUCCUCAGGAAGCCAGGCCCUUGUUGCUCCCUCUGUCUUCACCUCAUCUCCAAGGGGAGGACACCCUGCCUGCCCCAGGGAUGGGCGUGGCAGGGGAUUCCCACGGCCCAGGUGGACAAACAGGCUCCUCAGCCUUGGGUCCAAAUGGCUGGACCAGGGACAGAUCCGUGUGUAUUCUGGGACUCCCCACUGGGUCCCUCAAGCAGUCACGGCCAGUCCAUCAUAGGAGUCCCACCUGAGUGCCUAGUUGGCAAUGACAUAUGUCCCAAGUGGCUUAGGAGAAGUGUCUGGGGACAUGAUGGAUUUUCAGUGGAUCCUUCCUGAUCGGAUGUCAGAGGCUUCAUGUAAACGAGGGAGCAAAGCAUCUUGUCACCCCCUUGCCUGCUGAUCAGAGGUGGUACCUUGGGGUCCACAUCCUGAGUGGACGAAGAGAGUUCUGUUCAGGGGAAUGUCCUGAGGGGUUCUUUAGGGAAGCGAAGGCUUUGACAUGGCCUCGGUUCCAGCCUGGGGGCCAGACAUUCCAGGGGCCUGGGCUAGGUAGGAGCCACUCAACCAGGUUCCCAGGACACCCUAUCCCUCUCCAUCCAUGCCUUGACUGAGGAUGCACCUCGACAGCUCAGGGCACAGGGCUCUGGUCAGUGGUGGGGCUGGGGGUUAGGUGAGGACAUUGGAAGAGGGCCUCUGGCUGGGAGGGGCAAGCGGCCUCUCCUCUGUGGCCCCUGAGCAGCUUGCUACCCCUGUUGGGCCUCUGUCUCCUCAUUGGGGAGAUGCAGGGAUGAUGGUCUUGUGGUGCAGGCCUCACAGGAGGGCGAUGGGAUAAAAGAGAGGAAAGGAGCAUGCGGAGCUUUCUGCCCCGCUCCCCCUGGAGGGGUGAGGGGAGGGCAGUGAUGACAGUCAUGGCAGGAGUCCUCAGGAGACCCUGUGAGGGAGGGGGAGGAUCACCCUUUCCAGAUGAGGAAACAGGCUCAGGGAGACCAGCCCACAGGCCCAAGCUCACACUCCAAGUGAGAGUUGGAGCUGGGCCUGUUCUAGAAUCAGAACACCCUGGAGGAUGGACUAGCCUUGGUGCCAGUUGACUUGGGUCAGAUGUCCAAGAUAGGAGGCCGGUGGAGCUGGAGAGAAGUGGGAUGUGGCCUCACUGACCCUGUCCUCGACCCUGGCAGGAGGGGCCCUCCACAUUUGCCAUGCCAGAGAUACACCCCCAGAGAGUCCAGGAGCAGCAGCAGCAGCAACAGUGGGUGAGGGUGCCUGGGGGGAGGAGCUCCAGGGUCAGAGGAGAGGGGCUCUGCCCUCCCAGCUGGAGGCCUCAGACCCAGAGAGCAGGGCCCUGGCUCCUGCAGCCCUGCCUCCUGAUGCCACAGUGCCUGAGUCCCAGUAGAAGGGACCAGAUCAGGAGGGCCUGGAAGAGCUGGUGCAGGAUGGAUUUGUGGUGGGGAGGGACAGGGACCACAUUCCCUGUCACUUGCUGGAAUCCAGCCCUGGGAUCUAAUGAGGAGGAGUGCGGUGUUCUUGGGAUGUGAAGGGAGGGGAGUUGAGGGGAGGCUGCUAAGUGUCCUUGGCAGCUCAACGUGGGAGCUCUGGGGUGGGCCAGGAGGCUGAGGGGAGGACUUUUCAGGGGAGGGUCUGUGGGAGACUUGAGAGCAAGGGCUCAUUCCCACCCCGACGUCACAGGGUGUCAUCCCCUGUCUUGGCACUUUUCUCCAUGACCUGGUAAUGCUGCAUCUGGCAAUGGGUGCUUAUCUUGAGGUGGGUGAGCCUGGGGACCAGGCAAGGGGACCAGGAUCCUGAGGCUUGGGGCUCAGGAGCCCCAGAACUGAGCCCUGAGCUCCCAGCACCAGGCACAUCUCCUCUCAGGAGAGCCUCCAGCCACCCCGGGAGCCAGGGCGUCAGGCCCAUCUCAGGGAUGGGUGAACAGAGGCUCCGUGUGAGACCCCAUUCCAUCCCCAAGGCUGAUGAGGCAGCAGAGUCGCCUGAGCGCACAGCUGCGAGAGGUAUGUGAGCUGGACUCAGCCUCUCCCUCCCACGGUGCCCAUGCAGGAACAGAGAAGUCGGGCCCCUCCAGUUGGGCAGCACAUGAGUGGCUGAGCUGUCCCUUUUGCCUGAGGCCGCAGCCUCCAAGUCUGUCAUCUGAGAGAGUUGGGCUACGAGGUCCCUCAGCCGCAUGUCCUCCUCCUCUGGAGCCCAGAGCCCGGCCCAGGGGAAGGAGAUCAACCUUGAGAAAAGGACUGAGGACUGCAGAGCCAUGAGGGAGACCCUGCUGUUCCGGGUGGCUGCAAACAAUUACAGGCUAGAGCCCGAGGAAACAUUUGGGGCCUAGUUCCGGGACAGGGAGCUGCUCAGUGAUAAUGAGAGCUGAGGCCAGCUGGAGUCAGGGAAGGACUCUCCCUGGUGGCCAGUCCAGAGAGCCUGUGCCCAUGGCCCCGGUCAGCCCCAAGCCUUGUUGCGUGGUGAACUCUGGGACACCCAGACUCGAGCUGCUGGCAGGCAGUGGGGGUACACCUGAAGUGUGGCUCCUGGCUGGCUCACAGUCCCUCUCUGUCCUGUUGCUGCAGCCAGUCUUGCCGGCUGGAGCCCCCAUCAUGGUUGGCCAGCAGAAUACUCAAGGCCGAGAAGAAAGAGUUAUCAUCAAGUUCAGGCAUAAGUGUCUGGGCUGAUGGUGACUGAAUCCUAGGGGUUUAGUAAAGCUUCAGGCUAAGCGUGGUCUUGGGGAGUCAGACAGCUGGUGCUGGGAUCCCAGCCCCACCACUGACCAGUCCUGUGACUGGGGAGAUUCCCUUCAGCUUCCUGAGACUCAGUUUACUCCUCUGUGAAAUAGGUGGUGGCAGAUGAAUGUGGCAGGGACGAAUAGGAUACUAUUGGCUGACUGAACACAGGGCCUGGAGCACAGAGUGUGGUAGGGGUGGGGAGGGGGGCCAUGAUUCUGGGGGAGGCACCUCAAGAUAACCUGAC